This 501-nucleotide ribosomal RNA is filed under the name uncultured bacterium. RNAcentral describes it as "partial 16S ribosomal RNA". It matches the Rfam family "Bacterial small subunit ribosomal RNA", at positions 30 to 523 of the family's 1533-position model. The record is from RNAcentral.
AUUGAACGCUGGCGGCAGGCUUAACACAUGCAAGUCGAGCGGAGAUGAGGUGCUUGCACCUUAUCUUAGCGGCGGACGGGUGAGUAAUGCUUAGGAAUCUGCCUAUUAGUGGGGGACAACAUUCCGAAAGGAAUGCUAAUACCGCAUACGUCCUACGGGAGAAAGCAGGGGAUCUUCGGACCUUGCGCUAAUAGAUGAGCCUAAGUCGGAUUAGCUAGUUGGUGGGGUAAAGGCCUACCGAGGCGACGAUCUGUAGCGGGUCUGAGAGGAUGAACCGCCACACUGGGACCGAGACACGGCCCAGACUCCUACGGGAGGCAGCAGUGGGGAAUAUUGGACAAGGGGGGGAACCCUGAUCCAGCCAUGCCGCGUGUGUGAAGGAGGCCUUAUGGUUGUAAAGCACUUUAAGCGAGGAGGAGGCUACUGAGACUAAUACUCUUGGAUAGUGGACGUUACUCGCAGAAUAAGCACCGGCUAACUCUGUGCCAGCCGCCGCCGUAA